Molecule: long non-coding RNA, 669 nt
Filed under: Marmota monax (woodchuck)
Lineage: Eukaryota; Metazoa; Chordata; Mammalia; Rodentia; Sciuridae
Source: RNAcentral
CACCAACUUGACAUGGCAACUUAGCGAGACCCUGUCUUAAAAUAAAAAAUGAAAAAAGCUGAGGAUAUGGCUCAGUGGUAAAGCUCCUCUGGGUUCAAUCAUGAAAAAAGAAAUUGUUUUCAAACCUAUGUUAUUUGAUGCCAUGUUGUAUGCCUGUAGUUCCAGUGUGUGGGAGACUGGGGCAAGAGGAUCACUUGAGUCCGGGAGUUCAAGGCCAACCCCAUCUAUGAAUGAAUGAAUGAAUGAAAGAAACCUACUUGAGAGUCAUUGAGGAUUAUAAGUAAUGUUUGGCAAAUGGUUGCUAUUAAUCUUUGAGUUUAAGAAACCUUAAUUAUUCUCUUGCUAAAUUUUAACUUGACACUUAUUUAAAUAUUUAUUUUUUAGUUCCGGUUAGACACAAUACCUUUGUUUUAUUUAUUUAUUUUUAUGUUGUUCUGUGGAUUGAACCCAGGACCUUGCACUUGCUAGGCAAGUACUCUACCACUGUGCCACAACCCCAGCCCCUUAACUUGACAUUUUAUCUGAGUGUUUACUACUAAUAGGCUAUUGUGCUCCUGGAUUUUCCAGUUGUUAGAGAUGUUAUUGAAACACAUUUGCCUUUUGAAAAAUGACCAUAGUUGUGCUCUUGGAUAUCAAGUCCCAAAGUUUAGUUUCCCCUCUUCCUUUGUC